Molecule: long non-coding RNA, 312 nt
Filed under: Eutrema salsugineum
Lineage: Eukaryota; Viridiplantae; Streptophyta; Magnoliopsida; Brassicales; Brassicaceae
Description: long non-coding RNA (ESAL_LNC001404)
Source: RNAcentral
CUGAUCUGCUUGUUCUUCUAUUAGGCGUUGAGCUUCUUGAAGCUGCUCCUCGAGACCCUUGUAUGUUGCCGAGGUUCCUGGGUACUUCCUUUUUCAAGUCGUUUGUGAGAGGCUUCCAAUUCCAUAAGGAAUGCCUCUUUCAUUUGUGAAAGUCGCCUGCAAAACAGUAUUAGAAUAACAGAACUGUCAAAAUCCAAAGAAUAAAAGCAUAUCAUAAAAGACAAUGUAAAAAAAGUAUUUACCUGAAGAAAGAGUUCAUUUUCCUCUUCUACGGACAGCACCACAGGCGGUGAUGUACCAUCUGAAGUCUCA